RNAcentral lists this ribosomal RNA (484 nucleotides) under uncultured bacterium. Its description in RNAcentral is "partial 16S ribosomal RNA". It matches the Rfam family "Bacterial small subunit ribosomal RNA", at positions 29 to 507 of the family's 1533-position model. The record is from RNAcentral.
AUUGAACGCUGGCGGCAUGCCUUACACAUGCAAGUCGAACGGCAGCGCGGACUUCGGUCUGGCGGCGAGUGGCGAACGGGUGAGUAAUACAUCGGAACGUACCCUGUUGUGGGGAUUAACAGGCCGAAGGAUAACCUAUUCCGCAAACGGCCCUGAGGUUGAAGGGGGGGGCCCCAAAGCCCUCACCCGGCGGGCGCGCCCGAGGUCUGAUUAGCUAGUUGGUGGGGUAAAGGCCCACCAAGGCGACGAUCAGUAGCUAGUCUGAGAGGACGAUCAGCCACACUGGGACUGAGACACGGCCCAGACUCCUACGGGAGGCAGCAGUGGGGAAUUUUGGACAAUGGGGGCAACCCUGAUCCAGCAAUGCCGCGUGUGUGAAGAAGGCCUUCGGGUUGUAAAGCACUUUUGUCCGGAAAGAAAUCGCGCUGGUUAAUACCUGGCGUGGAUGACGGUACCGGAAGAAUAAGCACCGGCUAACUACGUG